AUACGGAGGGUGCAAGCGUUGUUCGGAAUCAUUGGGCUUAAAGAGCUCGUAGGCGGAUAGUUAAGCAUCUUGUGAAAUCCCACGGCUUAACCGUGGAACUGCUCGAUGAACUGGCUAUCUUGAGGCAAGUAGAAGUACGUGGAACUUCAGGUGGAGCGGUGAAAUGCGUAGAUAUCUGAAGGAACGCCAGUGGUGAAAACGGCGUACUGGGCUUGUUCUGACGCUGAGGAGCGAAAGCGUGGGUAGCGAACGGAAUUAGAAACCCCAGUAGUCC
This 274-nucleotide ribosomal RNA is filed under the name uncultured bacterium. RNAcentral's name for it is "partial 16S ribosomal RNA". It matches the Rfam family "Bacterial small subunit ribosomal RNA", at positions 523 to 796 of the family's 1533-position model. The record is from RNAcentral.